AUUAGGAUUUUGAUGAAAACCACGUUUAAGCAUUCAAAUUAUUGUGGCAUUGUGUUUGUCACAAAGGCCAUAUUCCAUUGAUCUUCUUUGUUUAAUAUUUCCUUAUUUGUGGACAUUUUAAAAGCUGUGAGAAAACAUUAGUGAAAAAUAAACCUCACAUCCUCCCUCAUAUGUUUGUCCUCACAAGAAUUCCCUCCACUUAAGUUUUCACUCUUUUAGGCUUUUUCACAAGAUGAG
Molecule: long non-coding RNA, 237 nt
Filed under: Carica papaya (papaya)
Lineage: Eukaryota; Viridiplantae; Streptophyta; Magnoliopsida; Brassicales; Caricaceae
Description: long non-coding RNA (CPAP_LNC007547)
Source: RNAcentral